GACGGAGGGGGCAAGCGUUGUCCGGACUCACUGGGCGUAAAGCGCACGUAGGUGGUCUGAUGCGUCGGUGCUGAAAGCGCCCGGCUUAACCGGGCGAGGCGUGCCGAUACGAUCGGACUUGAGGCAGGGAGAGGAUGGCGGAAUUCCGGGUGUAGUGGUGAAAUGCGUAGAGAUCCGGAGGAACGCCAGAGACGAAGGUGGCCAUCUGGCCCUGUCCUGACACUGAUGUGCGAUAGCGUGGGGAG
RNAcentral lists this ribosomal RNA (245 nucleotides) under uncultured bacterium. Its description in RNAcentral is "partial 16S ribosomal RNA". It matches the Rfam family "Bacterial small subunit ribosomal RNA", at positions 524 to 768 of the family's 1533-position model. The record is from RNAcentral.